UACGAAGGGUGCAAGCGUUACUCGGAAUUACUGGGCGUAAAGGGUGCGUAGGCGGUUUGUUAAGUUCGAUGUGAAAGCCCUGGGCUCAACCUGGGAAUGGCAUCGAAGACUGGCAGACUGGAGUGCGGUAGAGGAUGGUGGAAUUCCCGGUGUAGCGGUGAAAUGCGUAGAGAUCGGGAGGAACACCAGUGGCGAAGGCGGCCAUCUGGACCAGCACUGACGCUGAGGCACGAAAGCGUGGGGAGCAAACA
Molecule: ribosomal RNA, 251 nt
Filed under: uncultured Lysobacteraceae bacterium
Lineage: Bacteria; Pseudomonadati; Pseudomonadota; Gammaproteobacteria; Lysobacterales; Lysobacteraceae
Description: uncultured Xanthomonadaceae bacterium partial 16S ribosomal RNA
Rfam family: Bacterial small subunit ribosomal RNA
Source: RNAcentral